AUGAACGCUGGCGGCGUGCCUAAUACAUGCAAGUCGCGCGAACGGACGAGAAGCUUGCUUCUCUAAUGUUAGCGGCGGACGGGUGAGUAACACGUGGAUAACCUACCUAUAAGACUGGGAUAACUUCGGGAAACCGUAGCUAAUACCGGAUAAUAUUUUGAACCGCAUGGUUCAAAAGUGAAAGACGGUCUUGCUGUCACUUAUAGAUGGAUCCGCGCUGCAUUAGCUAGUUGGUAAGGUAACGGCUUACCAAGGCAACGAUGCAUAGCCGACCUGAGAGGGUGAUCGGCCACACUGGAACUGAGACACGGUCCAGACUCCUACGGGAGGCAGCAGUAGGGAAUCUUCCGCAAUGGGCGAAAGCCUGACGGAGCAACGCCGCGUGAGUGAUGAAGGUCUUCGGAUCGUAAAACUCUGUUAUUAGGGAAGAACAUAUGUGUAAGUAACUGUGCACAUCUUGACGGUACCUAAUCAGAAAGCCACGGCUAACUACGUG
RNAcentral lists this ribosomal RNA (496 nucleotides) under uncultured bacterium. RNAcentral describes it as "partial 16S ribosomal RNA". It matches the Rfam family "Bacterial small subunit ribosomal RNA", at positions 29 to 507 of the family's 1533-position model. The record is from RNAcentral.